Molecule: non-coding RNA, 28 nt
Filed under: Callithrix jacchus (white-tufted-ear marmoset)
Lineage: Eukaryota; Metazoa; Chordata; Mammalia; Primates; Cebidae
Also listed under: 1 other name
Source: RNAcentral
UGCACAUUUUCUGUCUGGUUGAUGUGGA